RNAcentral lists this ribosomal RNA (253 nucleotides) under uncultured bacterium. Its description in RNAcentral is "partial 16S ribosomal RNA". It matches the Rfam family "Bacterial small subunit ribosomal RNA", at positions 524 to 776 of the family's 1533-position model. The record is from RNAcentral.
UACGUAGGUGGCAAGCGUUGUUCGGAAUUACUGGGCGUACAGCGCACGUAGGCGGCUUUGUAAGUUAGAGGUGAAAGCCCGGGGCUCAACUCCGGAAUUGCCUUUAAGACUGCAUCGCUAGAAUUGUGGAGAGGUAAGUGGAAUUCCGAGUGUAGAGGUGAAAUUCGUAGAUAUUCGGAAGAACACCAGUGGCGAAGGCGACUUACUGGACACAUAUUGACGCUGAGGUGCGAAAGCGUGGGGAGCAAACAGG